AUUGAACGCUGGCGGAAUGCUUUACACAUGCAAGUCGAACGGCAGCGGGGGAGAAGCUUGCUUUUCCUGCCGGCGAGUGGCGAACGGGUGAGUAAUACAUCGGAACGUGCCCUGUAGUGGGGGAUAACUAGUCGAAAGAUUAGCUAAUACCGCAUACGACCUGAGGGUGAAAGUGGGGGACCGCAAGGCCUCAUGCUAUAGGAGCGGCCGAUGUCUGAUUAGCUAGUUGGUGGGGUAAAGGCCUACCAAGGCGACGAUCAGUAGCUGGUCUGAGAGGACGAUCAGCCACACGGGGACUGAGACACGGCCCAGACUCCUACGGGAGGCAGCAGUGGGGAAUUUUGGACAAUGGGCGAAAGCCUGAUCCAGCAAUGCCGCGUGUGUGAAGAAGGCCUUCGGGUUGUAAAGCACUUUUGUCCGGAAAGAAAUGGCUCUGGUUAAUACCUGGGGUCGAUGACGGUACCGGAAGAAUAAGGACCGGCUAACUACGUGCCAGCCGCCGCCGUAA
This 508-nucleotide ribosomal RNA is filed under the name uncultured bacterium. RNAcentral's name for it is "partial 16S ribosomal RNA". It matches the Rfam family "Bacterial small subunit ribosomal RNA", at positions 30 to 523 of the family's 1533-position model. The record is from RNAcentral.